RNAcentral lists this ribosomal RNA (638 nucleotides) under Nebria gouleti. RNAcentral's name for it is "partial 16S ribosomal RNA". It matches the Rfam family "Bacterial large subunit ribosomal RNA", at positions 1858 to 2834 of the family's 2925-position model. Lineage: Eukaryota; Metazoa; Arthropoda; Insecta; Coleoptera; Carabidae. The record is from RNAcentral.
CAUGUCCUUUAGAAUUUAAUUUAAGGUCUAGCCUGCCCACUGAAGUUAAUUUAAAUGGCCGCAGUAAUUUGACUGUGCAAAGGUAGCAUAAUCAUUAGUUUUUUAAUUGAAAGCUUGUAUGAAAGGUUGGACGAGGUAAAAUCUGUCUCUAAUUGAUUUAAUAUAGAAUUUAACUUUUAAGUUAAAAGGCUUAAAUUUAAUUAAAAGACGAGAAGACCCUAUAGAUCUUUAUAAUUUAUUUAUUAAAUUUAAUUAAGAAUUUUUUAAAUUUUAUUGAUUUAAUUAUUUUAUUGGGGUAAUAUAAAGAUUAAAUUAAUUCUUUUUUUUUAUUAACAUUAAUUUAUGAUUUUAUGAUCCAAUUUUAUUGGUUAUAAGAUUAAGUUACCUUAGGGAUAACAGCGUUAUUUUUUUAGAGAGUUCUUAUCGAUAAAAAAGUUUACGACCUCGAUGUUGGAUUAAAGAUUAUUUCAGGUGUAGAAGUUUGAAAAUUUUGGUCUGUUCGACCAUUAAAUCUUUACAUGAUCUGAGUUCAGACCGGUGUAAGCCAGGUCGGUUUCUAUCUUUAGUAAAUUAAAAUAUUUUAGUACGAAAGGACCAAUUAUUUAAUAUAAAAUAUUUAAAUUUUAUUGAUUAUUAUU